Molecule: ribosomal RNA, 370 nt
Filed under: Rhipicephalus evertsi evertsi
Lineage: Eukaryota; Metazoa; Arthropoda; Arachnida; Ixodida; Ixodidae
Description: partial 12S ribosomal RNA
Source: RNAcentral
CCCUAUUAUUUAAGAGCUAUAUAUUGUUAGUAAAUAAUUAUUACGAAAGCAAAAAAUUAUGGCGGUAUUUUAAGCUUUUCAGAGGAAUUUGCUCUUUAAUGGAUAAAACACCUAAAUCUUACUUGAAUUUGUUAAGUCAAUUUGUAUACCACUAUAAAAUUAAUUAUUUGCUUUAAUUAAUAAAGUUUAUAAUUUUUAAAACAAAUUAAGUCAAGGUGCAGUAAAAAUUUAAGAAUGAAGUGAAUUACAUUUCUUCUAAGAGAUUAAUGCAAUUAAAAAUAGAAUUAGGAUUUGAAAGUAAAAUUAAAAUAUAAUGUUAAUUUGAAUAAAGCUCUAAAAUAUGUACAUAUCGCCCGUCACUCUUUAUUAA